GGGAAAGAGAGGGACAGGAAGGACAGCAGACCGGAAACUAGGGACAGGACAGAGAAGGAGCGCCCUCUGGCUGCAGAGGGCGUGACAGUAUUUCUAUGAUUUGUUAACUUUGAUCUGUUUUUAACUGCAGUACCAAUCAACACAUCAAAAUGUGAUUUCUGUUCCCAAAGAGAGUCUAGGCUAAUUUUGGUGGCAACUAAAAAACACAACUGACAUUGAAGUUAACUCUCUCUUUAUUUGUAUGGCAGGCUAAUUUGAUGUAUGCAGAGUUUCGCCACAAAGAAAAAGGAAAGAAAAAUCUUUUCAGGAAGAUGGUGAACUUUGGCACCAAAAUCAAGAACAGGCUUCAGUUCAAGCUAAGAAAUGAUCAAAACGUGCCAUACUAUGAGGCUCACAUGUCCUCUGAUGCCUUUGAGAGGAUGCCACAGGCAGGAUCCAGGGGACAGAGGAAGGAACAGACCUCCGAGGCUCCACGUCCGGGAGCGAAUUCUGGCUUUCUCCCUUUGAUUCCCCAAAAACCUCAGCUGACUUCAGCUGUGAUGCAGAGCGAACCAUGCCACAAUGCCAGCGCCAACCGUGGUAACUUCUAUGAAAUUCAGGGCACAUCCUCAAGUUUCAACAGCUUUGGAAAGAGGGAACUCAUGCAACUGAGGGAUAAGAACAGCAUCCCACAAACUGUAAGGAAGAAGAUCUUCGAGAAGGAAAGUGGCCCUCCAGAGAGAUAUCAAUGGAGCCAGCCUCGCAGUGCUAUGCCAGGAGUCUCUGCUCCUCAACCAAACCCCAGGGAGAAGCCACCAAAGUCAUCUGUGCUGACCAGGGUGUCUGCUGCACUGGCCCGAGUGUUCCAGAAGAAGAAAUAGAGAAACUACUGAUGAAACCUAACCACAGGACCAAUACUUAUAAUAAGAAACACAUUUCCUGGAUUUUAAAAAU
This 933-nucleotide long non-coding RNA is filed under the name Lepisosteus oculatus (spotted gar). RNAcentral describes it as "lncRNA (ENSLOCG00000022694.1)". The record is from RNAcentral. Lineage: Eukaryota; Metazoa; Chordata; Actinopteri; Semionotiformes; Lepisosteidae.